UGAACCAUAUUACCCUGUUGCAACAUGCUGUCAGAUAAAAUAUACUGAUGCUGUUUUCGCUAUGGAUGCAGGCCUGAUCCGUCCAAGCUCAGGUAACAUGACGUGCACACGCUCACGCAAAUUGCUGAGCAGGCAGGUGACGUCAGCUCCAAUUCGGGGGGCAGCGAUGUGGCUUUAGCGUCAGGUUGGAUAUUAAUAUUGCUUUUACAGAUUUUGGUUGAAGUGAAACUUGUUCCUCGCUGUCAGCCGGUGUAAUAAAGGUGACGGGAGGAAGAAGUGAUUAGCACCUCCAGCUGUCAAUCUGCAUUCAGCAACAACAGACACAGCUGACCAUGAACACUGUCAGGAAGCGGGUCGAUUCGGAACACACUCGCUCUCGACGAGCACUGCUGAACACAUCAUGCCACCGCUGUUAUAUUUUGUCGACGUGGAAGAAAAACAUUGAGCACGAAGCAAACAAUUCAACAGACAGGAUAACGGGGUUGCUAACGUUGGUUAGCCUACAAGAAGACGCUGGCAGACUCUUCGGUAUCUGAAUCCUCCUACCUUGACUUUGACUCGGACCACCCCCCUCUCCUCCUCGCCUGCCAUUUUACAGACUCCGUUUCGGAACAGGGUGGUUGUUUGGAGUUUUGUUUCCCUUCUACAUCGACAUGGCCUGAUCAGGAGCUUCCUAUCACCAGACUUGAACGAUGACUGAGGAUCCAGGUCAUGGAAAACAGGACACACCUGAGAUCUGAUCACUCAUACCACAUUCAGAGGUUCAGACUGCCCAGUGUGCUGGGUGGCAUGCCACUGAAAAUAAUGGCUCGCAGGGUGCAGUGAGCCAUUGUCACAUUCUGUCUACUGAACCCACACAUGGAUAGUGGGAGAAAGAGGAGAAUGCUACCUGGAAUGCUACCUUUGCCAACGGUCCACAUUUGGUAGGUUAAGUCAUAUCACAAGUGACUAAUGCAACACAAGUGAAAUGCCAGGUGUGAACUGACAACAGAGCUGUCCACUUGUGAUUGAAUCACUAAGGAAACAUGUCAAUACAAGAUGUGAACAUACUCAGUUGCACACACUCUAACGUUACACACUUCUGGAGAAAUUUAGUUGUUCGCAGAUUGUCAGUAUUUGACGACUUAAGUGAUACAGGGAAGGAUGUUCAGGAGCAGGCGA
Acanthopagrus latus (yellowfin seabream) is the source of this 1161-nucleotide long non-coding RNA. RefSeq lists it as uncharacterized. The record is from RefSeq and is a predicted model, not a curated record. The transcript is spliced from 3 exons. NCBI's taxonomy places the organism in Eukaryota, Metazoa, Chordata, Actinopteri, Spariformes, Sparidae.